GGCGGGGGUGCUAUACAUGCAAGUCGAGCGAACGGACGAGAGUGCUUGCACUCUCUGAUGUUAGCGGCGGACGGGUGAGUAACACGUGGGUAACCUACCUAUAAGACUGGGAUAACUUCGGGAAACCGGAGCUAAUACCGGAUAAUAUUUAGCUUCGCAUGAAGCAAUAGUGAAAGACGGUUCUGCUGUCACUUAUAGAUGGACCCGCGGUGUAUUAGCUAGUUGGUGAGGUAACGGCUCACCAAGGCAACGAUACAUAGCCGACCUGAGAGGGUGAUCGGCCACACUGGGACUGAGACACGGCCCAGACUCCUACGGGAGGCAGCAGUAGGGAAUCUUCCGCAAUGGACGAAAGUCUGACGGAGCAACGCCGCGUGAGUGAAGAAGGUUUUCGGAUCGUAAAACUCUGUUGUAAGGGAAGAACAAGUACGUUAGUAACUGAACGUACCUUGACGGUACCUUACCAGAAAGCCACGGCUAACUACGUGCCAGCAGCCGCGGUAAUACGUAGGUGGCAAGCGUUAUCCGGAAUUAUUGGGCGUAAAGCGCGCGUAGGCGGUCUCUUAAGUCUGAUGUGAAAGCCCCCGGCUCAACCGGGGAGGGUCAUUGGAAACUGGGAGACUUGAGUGCAGAAGAGGAGAGUGGAAUUCCAUGUGUAGCGGUGAAAUGCGCAGAGAUAUGGAGGAACACCAGUGGCGAAGGCGGCUCUCUGGUCUGUAACUGACGCUGAGGUGCGAAAGCGUGGGGAUCAAACAGGAUUAGAUACCCUGGUAGUCCACGCCGUAAACGAUGAGUGCUAAGUGUUGGGGGGUUUCCGCCCCUCAGUGCUGCAGCUAACGCAUUAAGCACUCCGCCUGGGGAGUACGGUCGCAGACUGAAACUCAAAGGAAUUGACGGGGACCCGCACAGCGGUGGAGCAUGUGGUUAUUCGAAGCACGCGAAGACCUUACCAAUCUUGACUCCUUUGA
RNAcentral lists this ribosomal RNA (968 nucleotides) under Macrococcoides caseolyticum. RNAcentral's name for it is "bacterial SSU rRNA". It matches the Rfam family "Bacterial small subunit ribosomal RNA", at positions 38 to 993 of the family's 1533-position model. The record is from RNAcentral. Lineage: Bacteria; Bacillati; Bacillota; Bacilli; Caryophanales; Staphylococcaceae.